RNAcentral lists this long non-coding RNA (2231 nucleotides) under Homo sapiens (human). RNAcentral's name for it is "HSALNT0372181". The record is from RNAcentral. Lineage: Eukaryota; Metazoa; Chordata; Mammalia; Primates; Hominidae.
AAGGCUCUUCUGUGUCUUCCUGACCAGCUGCUCUGUUCCCAGCUUAGAGGACCAGAGGGAGAAGCCACCUGCUACACGCUGGAUGCUGCAGCCUGUGCCACUGUGGCUCACAUCGCUGUGGUUGGUGGCAGCAACGGAGACUGCAGCCAGCUGGAGUGCCAGAAGAGGAAUCCUCCCCCAUUGUCAUCCUACCUUUAAGGCAUCCAGCAUUUUGCCUGGAAAUCACCAACCUGAUUAUCGACCAUGCAGAGACCUCCUGCCCUUGUGGGGUCACUCCCCAAACCUCAGCAUUUUCAGAGGCUUUAAGAACUCACAAGCAUCCUCUGAUAAAGUGGCUUAUAAUUUGUACAAAGCCUGCAUGGAAAGUGGUAGAGGAGAGGUCCGAGGGAAGUCACAUUAAUCCUGUGAGUGGCCAUGUAGGCAUUGAUAGGACAGAAUCACUUCUUGUGUGUUAACCACGAAGAGCGCUUAGCAGGCUUUGCGCAGAAGCUGUCCUGGGCUGUGGUGAGAGCUCUCUGUCAUGGCCCCAUCAUCAGCACUUAGGUGACAGGGAAGGGGCACUGUCCAGGGCUGCAGGGGCCAGCCGUGAUGGGGACCUAGGUGUGCUCAUCUUUAGUGGUUCUGACGGUGUGAGAGGCUAUUCCAGCCAUGGACACAGGGCUAUGGGAUCUGGCUUUGAUGCUGCUGUCUCUGGGCAGGAACUCCAGGCAGGAGGCCUCUACCCAAAUACUAUGGCCAGGGAAACCAAACAGUAUGUUAUUUUUCGCGGGCGUGCAAAGCAUUGUGGAAACCAGCCUGAAACGCGUGGCUGAGGCCCGUGGCUUGAUGGGUCCUCCUAGCUCCUGUGGUCUUCCCUGGCUGGAUGCACGGGGGAGAUGAGUGUCCUCACGUUUUUGACAGUGGAGUGAAGAGAGCUGGCCAGGCCCACCCAGGGGUCACCACAUGGAGCAGGACGGAAAGUAAAAAACAGGAAGAUAAAAAACAGGAAGAAGAAGGAAGGUGAAAAACAGAGACCUUCGAACACCCAGGAGCCCUGCUCACCGAUACCUGUGGGCUGACGGUGACUGGACUCAGCUGCUACCUCGCUCCUUCAUAGAAGAGCCGCAGGAGGGAGGAGCGGGUCCCCUCCACCAGGGCCGGCAGCCAGAGGCCUGCACCUUCAACCCCCUAGCCACAAAAAGUAGCAUUUGCUGGGAAGUGGAGGAGGGAGAAGGAGAGGGAGGGACUGAUUAAAGUAUACAAAAUUACAGCUAGAUAGGAGGAAUAAUUUCUAGUGUUCUACAGCACUGUAGGGUGGGAUUUUGAAUGUUUCCAACCCAAACACAUGAUCACUAUUUGAGGUGAUGGGUAAGCUAAUUACCCUGACUUGAUCACUAUGCACAGUAUGCAUCAAAACUCACUCAAUAUACCCCAUAGACGUGUACAAUUAUUAUGUAUCAGUUUUUAAACAUGUUUUUCAAAUGUUUUUUAAAAUCCUUGGGGUGGGAGGGGUGGGGGCAAGGGGAGGGAGAGCAUUAGGACAAAUACGUAAUGCAUGCAGGCCUUAAAACCUAGGUAACAAACUUGCAUGUCUGCACGUGUAUCCCAGAACUUCAAGUAAAAAAAAAACAAUUCCUUGGGGGAAAGGAUGCAUAUAUUUUCAAGAAGCGUGGGUGAAUGUAUUAUAAAUUAAUUUAAAAGUCAGUGGCUUCUGAGUUAGGACUUAGUAAGUAUAGAGUUUCAGUUUUCCAAGGGGUCAAGAGUUGUGGAGCUGGAAGGUGGUGCUCGCUGCUUGGCAUCAUGAGAGUGGGUAAUAACGCUGAGCUGCGCACCUCAGAAUGGUUGGGAUCGUAAGUUUCAUGUGUAUGUUGCCACAAUUUAAAAAAUUGAAAAAAAAAAAUCAGUGGCUCUUUCCCUACCUAAGAGAUUUGUGAAGACUUGUCCCGAGGUAGGAUUCUGGACUUUCUAACCCCAGGCGUCCUCUGGGCAUCCGCUUCUCCCUAAGCCCUAAGGUUCCCUUCCCCGUGACCUCUAGGGCGAGAGCCUGAAAGAGUGGUUGGACAGCUGGUCCAAUUCAUUCAGGUAAAGGACUUCAUUCGCUUUAAGUGUCAACUCUUUUGGCUUUCACCUUUUUGGGUAGCCUGUUUUCGUAGAGCUCACUUUUUGUUCUCAAGCUCCCCGAGCACAAUGCAUUUUGUGAGCCAAAUCAUUAAAAUAGGACAUUUGUUUUUUGUUUUUUCUUUUGGCCACAA